Molecule: ribosomal RNA, 443 nt
Filed under: uncultured bacterium
Lineage: Bacteria
Description: partial 16S ribosomal RNA
Rfam family: Bacterial small subunit ribosomal RNA
Source: RNAcentral
CCUACGGGAUGCAGCAGUGGGGAAUAUUGGGCAAUGGGCGCAAGCCUGACCCAGCAACGCCGCGUGCAGGAAGCAGGCUUUCGGGUUGUACACUUCUUUUGUCAGGGACGAAGCAAGUGACGGUACCUGACGAAUCAGCCACGGCUAACUACGUGCCAGCAGCCGCGUUAAUACGUAGGUGGCAAGCGUUAUCCGGAUUUAUUGGGUGUAAAGGGCGUGUAGGCGGGAAUGCAAGUCAGAUGUGAAAACUAUGGGAUCAACCCAUCGCCUGCCUGUGAAACUGUAUUUAUUGAGUGCUGGAGAGGCAAUCGGAAUUCCGUGUGUAGCGGUGAAAUGCGUAGAUAUACGGAGGAACACCAGUGGCGAAGGCGGAUUGCUGGACAGUAACUGACGCUGAGGCGCGAAAGCGUGGGGAGCAAACAGGAUUAGAUACCCUUGUAGUC